This 75-nucleotide transfer RNA is filed under the name Microscillaceae bacterium. Its description in RNAcentral is "tRNA-Gly". It matches the Rfam family "tRNA". From Rfam's summary of the family: Transfer RNA (tRNA) molecules are approximately 80 nucleotides in length. Their secondary structure includes four short double-helical elements and three loops (D, anti-codon, and T loops). Further hydrogen bonds mediate the characteristic L-shaped molecular structure. tRNAs have two regions of fundamental functional importance: the anti-codon, which is responsible for specific mRNA codon recognition, and the 3' end, to which the tRNAs corresponding amino acid is attached (by aminoacyl-tRNA synthetases). tRNAs cope with the degeneracy of the genetic code in two manners: having more than one tRNA (with a specific anti-codon) for a particular amino acid; and 'wobble' base-pairing, i.e. permitting non-standard base-pairing at the 3rd anti-codon position. Lineage: Bacteria; Pseudomonadati; Bacteroidota; Cytophagia; Cytophagales; Microscillaceae. The record is from RNAcentral.
AAAGCGUUAGUGUAAUUGGAAACACGUCAACAUCCCAAGUUGGUAAUGUAGGUUCGAGUCCUAUACGCUUUUCAA